Molecule: ribosomal RNA, 292 nt
Filed under: uncultured Acidobacteriota bacterium
Lineage: Bacteria; Pseudomonadati; Acidobacteriota
Description: uncultured Acidobacteria bacterium partial 16S ribosomal RNA
Source: RNAcentral
GGACUACCGGGGUAUCUAAUCCUGUUUGCUACCCACGCUUUCGUGUCUCAGCGUCAGGAAUCGUCCAGAAAGCCGUCUACACCACAGGUGUUCCUUCUGAUAUCUACGCAUUUCACCGCUACACCAGAAAUUCCACUUUCCUCUCCGAUCCUCAAGCAUCGCAGUCUUCGGCGCACCCUCCCAGUUAAGCCGGGAGAUUUCACGCCAAACUUACGACACCGCCUACACACUCUUUACGCCCAGUAAUUCCGAACAACGCUUGCUGCCUACGUAUUACCGCGGCUGCUGGCAC